RNAcentral lists this long non-coding RNA (720 nucleotides) under Daucus carota (carrot). RNAcentral describes it as "long non-coding RNA (DCAR_LNC001918)". The record is from RNAcentral. Lineage: Eukaryota; Viridiplantae; Streptophyta; Magnoliopsida; Apiales; Apiaceae.
UUAGGAUAAUCUGACCCAAAUUUGGAUCUUCGGGUUACUGCUGAGUUUGCUUAUUUCUUGAGGGCUACUUUAAGCAUGACUUGCCUGAAUCUGUCAUUCUACCCCUAUUAAAAAAGGCAACCCAUCUAACACAUUCUGAUCCUCCAAGUACAGUAUUAGUCAAAAUUUGGUUUCGUAGCCGCGAGUAAGUUCUACUGCAUGAGAAUUCAGCGGAUGAUGAUCGUCAUUGGCUGCAGCGGUUGUGAUAUAUUGCUUCUUCGCUCCCAGAAGGAAAUUUGGAUGUGGUCUGGAUGAAUCUGAAUGGAAUUGUGUAAAUUCUUGGCAUUUGGUUGAGUUUCUUCUGGUAUCUCUCUCACAUAUGAAUUAGAUAGCAUCGUAUGCUCCAUGUAAUGGCUUUUUGUUGUUUGUAAGAUUUUCAACUUAAGUGAAGAGAUUAAGUUCAUAUGUUACUGAUUUUCUGGUUUUAUUGUACAUUAUUGAUCUAUGUUCUGCAUCAGUUUUUAAACAAGAAGAUAUUUGACUGGCCUUGGUGCCAGAUUUAGCUACCUCAAUCCUGUAACCUAGAGUUAGAGUUAGAUUGACUACUGGGCUACUGGCUAAUCUACAAGAAUUUGAUUAUUUUUUUUCUGACUAAAAUAUUACUUUUAGCAGUGGUAUACGAAAAUUGCAAGCUCUGUUGGUUCAUGUAAUCUUGGUUGCCUAUCUACUGCAUAUAUUAGA